GCCGGGGUGGUGGAAUUGGCAGACACAAGGGACUUAAAAUCCCUCGGGCCUUAUCAGCCCGUACCGGUUCAAGUCCGGUCCCCGGUACAA
This 90-nucleotide transfer RNA is filed under the name Calditrichota bacterium. RNAcentral describes it as "Calditrichaeota bacterium tRNA-Leu". It matches the Rfam family "tRNA". Rfam says of the family: Transfer RNA (tRNA) molecules are approximately 80 nucleotides in length. Their secondary structure includes four short double-helical elements and three loops (D, anti-codon, and T loops). Lineage: Bacteria; Pseudomonadati; Calditrichota. The record is from RNAcentral.